RNAcentral lists this ribosomal RNA (403 nucleotides) under Verrucomicrobiota bacterium. RNAcentral's name for it is "Verrucomicrobia bacterium partial 16S ribosomal RNA". It matches the Rfam family "Bacterial small subunit ribosomal RNA", at positions 355 to 776 of the family's 1533-position model. Lineage: Bacteria; Pseudomonadati; Verrucomicrobiota. The record is from RNAcentral.
UGGGGAAUAUUGCACAAUGGGCGCAAGCCUGAUGCAGCAACGCCGCGUGAACGAUGAAGGUCUUCGGAUCGUAAAGUUCUGUUGCAGGGGAAGAUAAUGACGGUACCCUGUGAGGAAGCCCCGGCUAACUACGGGCCAGCAGCCGCGGUAAUACGUAGGGGGCUAGCGUUAUCCGGAUUUACUGGGCGUAAAGGGUGCGUAGGUGGUCUUUCAAGUCGGUGGUUAAAGGCUACGGCUCAACCGUAGUUAGCCUCCGAAACUGGAAGACUUGAGUGCAGGAGAGGAAAGUGGAAUUCCCAGUGUAGCGGUGAAAUGCGUAGAUAUUGGGAGGAACACCAGUAGCGAAGGCGGCUUUCUGGACUGCAACUGACACUGGGGCACGAAAGCGUGGGUAGCAAACAGG